RNAcentral lists this ribosomal RNA (460 nucleotides) under uncultured bacterium. RNAcentral describes it as "partial 16S ribosomal RNA". It matches the Rfam family "Bacterial small subunit ribosomal RNA", at positions 338 to 795 of the family's 1533-position model. The record is from RNAcentral.
CCUACGGGAGGCAGCAGUGAGGAAUAUUGGUCAAUGGGCGAGAGCCUGAACCAGCCAAGUCGCGUGAAGGAUGAAGGAUCUAUGGUUUGUAAACUUCUUUUAUAAAGGAAUAAAGUGAGGCACGUGUGCCUUUUUGUAUGUACUUUAUGAAUAAGGAUCGGCUCACUCCGUGCCAGCAGCCGCGGUAAUACGGAGGAUCCGAGCGUUAUCCGGAUUUUUUGGGUUUAAAGGGAGCGUAGAUGGGUUGUUAAGUCAGUUGUGAAAGUUUGCGGCUCAACCGUAAAAUUGCAAUUGAUACUGGCAGUCUUGAGGACAGUUGAGGUAGGCGGAAUUCGUGGUGUAGCGGUGAAAUGCUUAGAUAUCACGAAGAACUCCGAUUGCGAAGGCAGCUUACUAAACUGCCACUGACAUUGAUGCUCGAAAGUGUGGGUAUCAAACAGGAUUAGAUACCCGGGUAGUC